RNAcentral lists this transfer RNA (66 nucleotides) under Nippotaenia mogurndae. RNAcentral describes it as "tRNA-Cys". The record is from RNAcentral. Lineage: Eukaryota; Metazoa; Platyhelminthes; Cestoda; Nippotaeniidea; Nippotaeniidae.
AAACAUUCAGCUCUGUGGCCUUAGCUUUGCAAAAGCUAAAGAGGAUGUAAUCACAUCCAGUGUUUU